UUAGAUGAACUGACGCAUGAUUGGAGAAGGGACUAGACUGUCUAGUGAUUUGAAACUAGUCAUAUGAGGACCAGCUGGAGCAAUGGGGAAUAUUUACCCGCUGGGGGCUUGAUCACGGCUUUCUCAUUCAAAGGGCUAAGACAGAGAAGAGGUCAGAUCGGUUCUAUACCACCCCCGCAAAAAACUAGAACCAGUGGACGUGCGUGCAGGGAGCGAGGAGAGGAGGCAACAGGGAGGCAGAUUUACUCUCAAACUGAGGCAGACUUUUGAACAUCAUAACCGUUUCAAGAUGCAACAGUCAUGUCAGGGAGUGGCGAGCUCCCUCGCACAGAGGUGGGGGCCGUGUUUAGGCUGAGCCUGGGCAGCAGCUUCACCACAAAUGUUUACAGAAAAUCCAAGUGUUACGUGGGCAGCUGAACUGGAUGCCCUCUGCGGUUUCUCCCAGCCCUCUAGGGCCGGGCUCUGUGCCCACAAAUGGGAUGCCAGGGUGAAGGAGAAGGAAGAGCUAAAAAUGACUCCUCCACUGCUGGCCUGGAAGCCUGGAAGAUGCUGCUGCUGGUGUAAGCGAAGAACUUAGGAUGAAAUUGAUUGGUGGGAAUGGCAGGAGAAGAUUUUUUUGUGAUACAGUGUCAGAAAAGCAAGGAGUUUGGGUCAGACCAGUUACGUCUUUGAAGCUUUCCACGUGUCUGUGUCUUCCUUGGAGCACCUCCCAGUGUUGUCAGGAGGAUUUAGAGAAAACAGCCUGCCCAGUGCUUUUGCUUGACUAGCAGAGACAGCUGGAUAAAGGUUUUAUGGGAGGCGAUGUCGGCAUUCGUAGGGCCUGUGCCUUUUCUGUGACUCAGUGAUGGGCCAGUGGAAACGGCCGUUUCCACAGUUGGACAGAACGAGGUUUGUGUCCUGGUGUUGCUCACAGACGUCUCAACCAGACGGAGUCCGGACUCCACCACGUGGCAAUAACGAGAAGGUAGCUCUCGGGGCGGUGGUGGGUUGAGAUUAGAUACAUGAAGAGGCUGUCCCAAUGUGAGCUGGGUUAUAAACCCAAGAGAGGGGGCAUGGGAGCCGAGGAGGGGACCGCAUCAGAGGCCACCAGGCUGAGUAGGGCGGGCUUUUCACAGGGGCCUGGGUCACGGCUGUGAUAAGCCCCCCGUUGUGGAAUGCAGAAGGCCAUGGUCUCUCAGUGAGUCGGGCAGGGCCAUGGUGCGUGCCCAGGUCUACUUGACUCCAAGUCUUGUGUUCUUUCCCCUGUGGGACCUUCAGGGGUUUUGCAAAUAGAGGUCCCACUCUCCAAGGGCUUCCUGUUGCACUGGGCAGAAGGGAGGGUAGAACCUGCCCAGCUGCGUCCUCUACUCUGAGCCUUUCUCUGCCAUUUCUUCACCAGAUGGCAGCUUCCUGCCUGGGAAUGGAGAACUCGAGUGGCCACCCAGCAUGACAGGCAGCCUCCCCACCCACUUAACCUCAUGGGAGGUCCUGUGAACCCUCCACCUCCAUCUCACGGGGCCUGAAGCCCACAGGGGGAUCCUUAAGCAGUUGGAGUGGGUCCUGGGGCCAGCCCAGGGCUGGCACGGGGUUCGCAUUUCACUUCUGGGCCAUGGCAAGCUCUGGUUCAGAGCCUUAGCUCGGCAGCAGCCCCUCUGCACCAAGUCACUUGGCCCCUGCCACAGCAUCACAGCCUGGAGCCCAACAGGAUGAGCCCAGCUCAUGCUUCUGAAGCACGGCUAUUCUGACAGCCCUGGUCUUGGUGCUCAUCACUUGCUUCUCACUGUGCUUUACAGGCAGAAUGGGGACAAGAGCUUUAAGUUCUAUCAUUGUGAUUCUUUUUUUUCUGCUGCAGUCCCUUAUAUGUAGCCUCCGACCAAAUACAACUUUUGCCUUUGUGCUAUUGCUGGAAUGCAAAGCUUCUACUUCAGAUGAGCGCUGAGAGCCAACAAGGUUGAAAUGGAAAAGGAUUUCCUCAAUGUCUUUAGCUCCCGGGUCAGGUAGACAAGCUCGGAGGUCUUCAAACUGGGGGUACACAGGUUUCUGGGUGCACAAAGUCUUUCUAGGAGGGAAGAAAAAUAGGUUUUGCUACUUUAUUGACUAGUGAAAAGCAGCAUGGUGGGGUGUGGCUCGCUUCUUCAGUGCUGCCUCUGCUCAAACCUCUAUGGGUGCAUACAGAUGGGCAGGCUGUGGAGCUCCGACCCCACAGCACCGUCUAGGGGUGAAUGUUCACAGCUCCUGAAGCCCCAGUGGGCGUGUGUACCAUGUGCUCUUUCAGUUUAGCCGCCCAUAGAUGGUUUGUAUUAGUCACAGCUCAAUUAGACCCCUGCCUUAUCACAAGAACAAAGGGCUUUCUGUGUCCUGUGGUCCUUGCUUUGGUGUAGCGGAAGAAUUGGAUCACACAUGGUCUUGGUGAAUGAGUGCAAGGUUUUAUUGAGUAGAAGUAGCUCUCAGAUGGGGGAGCCAGAAGGGAGAUGGUUUUCUCCUGGAGUCGGGCCACUCGGUGGCCCGAGAUCUCCUCCAACUGCCCCAGCCAAACGCUACGUCAUUCUACCAGUCGAUGGCCUGCCAGCAUGCCUGUCGGUGUGUUCCUCUCCACAUCCAGCCUCCUGUGUGUCUUCUGGCUACAGUCUUGGGGUUUUUUCCAGGCACAAGAUAGGGGUGUGGCAGGCCAGGGUGGUCUUGGGAAAUGCAACAUUUGGGCAGGAAAACAAAAAUGCCUGUCCUUACCUAGGUCCGUGGGCACAGGCUGGGGGUGGAGUCCUAGCCAGGGACCAUGAACUCCUCUACCCAGCACUUCCUUUCCCCUCUUCUGUAUCAUUUAAAGGGACCACACUCUUCCCUUCCCAGCACUUCCCUUCCAUAUCACUAAUAUAUGGAAUUAAAAAAAAAUUUUUUUUGAGGCGGGGUCUCACUCUGUCACAGAGGUUGGAGUGCAGUGGCAUGAUCUCGGCUCACUGCAACCUCUGCCUUCCAGGUUCAAGCGAUUCUCAUGCCUCAG
RNAcentral lists this long non-coding RNA (2977 nucleotides) under Homo sapiens (human). The record is from RNAcentral. Lineage: Eukaryota; Metazoa; Chordata; Mammalia; Primates; Hominidae.